This is a non-coding RNA of Oryza meridionalis, 177 nucleotides long. Lineage: Eukaryota; Viridiplantae; Streptophyta; Magnoliopsida; Poales; Poaceae. The record is from Rfam.
AACUACACUAUUAAUGAAUGGAUUCACCCGCAAGAUGACGUGGCUGGUUCACAUAGGACGAGAACGUGGCAUUCUAUUACCAGCCAUCGCAUGAAAUUAAUAGGAUAUGCCACGUCAUCAUCCUAGAUGGAAUAACUACGUCAUCACACGGGUGAAUCCAUCAUCGAUAGUGUGGUU